UCGAGAAUGGUGAAAUGGUAUCACACAAGAUUUUGAUUCUUGUAUUCUUAGUUCGAAUCUAAGCUCUCGAG
RNAcentral lists this transfer RNA (71 nucleotides) under Myoviridae sp. cthRr4. Its description in RNAcentral is "tRNA-Gln". It matches the Rfam family "tRNA". Rfam says of the family: Transfer RNA (tRNA) molecules are approximately 80 nucleotides in length. Their secondary structure includes four short double-helical elements and three loops (D, anti-codon, and T loops). Lineage: Duplodnaviria; Heunggongvirae; Uroviricota; Caudoviricetes. The record is from RNAcentral.